CUGGUGGAAGGAAGAUUACAACUGUGUAGCUCAAGAUCUCUCAAUAAUACAGCAGGUGGAAGGAAGAUUACAACUGUGUAGCUCAGGAUUUCUUCAUUAAUACAGCUGGUGGAAGGAAGAUUACAACUGUGUAGCUCAAGAUCUCUCAAUAAUACAGCAGGUGGAAGGAAGAUUACAACUGUGUAGCUCAGGAUUUCUUCAUUAAUACUGACAAGCUGCUGUUUCAUGUUACUUAUGGACCAGAGGACUGACUGUGUGAAAAUAGGUGCAUAGACUAAGGUACUGAAAAUAAACAAGUGUGAAUAGAAGUUCAUGGGAAAUAGAAUUAAAUUUCCUUUGGUGUUUCUGCACUGAAGCAGCAGCUGCUGGAAUGGGAGGUGAUUUUGCUACAACUUAAGGUUGGUUUACCGGUAGUGUCAAUUAAUAUAAUGCAGGUAGUGGUAGUUAAUCUUUUUAGGUUUCUUCACCCAUUCAGUUCUCAGAUUAUUUUCUCAUACCCCUUGUCAAAAAACAAUGACUUAAGACAUGUUUUAGAAUUAGAUUAUUAGCAAUCCUUUAUUUUUACAGCAAAACCACAAAUACAGCUCCUCCCCGACUUAAAUUACGACGGGGCUAGGGACCCAAAUCCAUGUCGUAAGUCGAAAUUUAAAUUGAGUGUCUCUUUUUCUUCUCAGCUCCACAAAACUCUCACUUUUAAGCUUGCCAGCCAGUUUAAAGUGAAUUACAAACAAAUAUUUUGUCGGUGCACAGUGCAAUCACUGACGUUGGGACUCGAAAAUACGUAAUUUGAAAAAAUUUUGGUACAACUGAGGCGGGUCGUAAGUCGGGGAGGAGCUGUAAAUGAACCUAAGUGGCAAGUUUCGCACUUCCAAAGAGUAUAAUUCCUGAAGUUUCAUUUGGUGCCUGGGAACCUGAAGAAUGCCUGAAAUUUGGGUGUGUGCCUGGAUAAAGUUAUUGAAGAUGAUUGUUAAGCACUGAUGAAACUUUUUUUUCAAAAUUAGGCUACAAAGUACAGAAAAAUACCGAUAGAUUUACAAUUGUUUUCAUUAACUCUUUGCUGCGAGUCCCUCACUUACCAUUUAAUUCUGGCUACGGUCAGACAGUUUUAUGCAGCUUGAGGUACACUCCUGGAGCCAGAGGGUUGAUUAAUAUCACUAGGCUCUUUGGUUUAUGCCAUUACUGUAUUUGCUGCUGGCAGUACUCUAACCCUGAGUUAAAUCAAGAAAAAAAAUCAACAUUUCCAAAAUUAAUAAAAAAAAAUGGCGGGAAAAUUGGCGGACGUUCUGGAAUGUCACCCGGGGCCUAAGGGUUAAGGUUCUUUGUUCAUCUGUACAGGACCAUUAAAAUUUUUUUUUUUAAUUCAUACCAUUAUUAAUGCCUAAACAGCUUAAUACUUGCUUGGAAAAAUUUUGAAAAAUGGCCUAAAAACCUGGAAAAUACCUGAAAUUUUAUUUAUCUUCUGUCCACCCUGUUAUAGAAAAGUUGUCCCUCGGUUAACGAAAUUUCGGUUAAUGAAUUACCUUCCAUGAGAAUCCUCAAUUCGGUUAACGAAAAAAAAUCGUUUAACGAAAUCCUUACGAAA
Long non-coding RNA from Homarus americanus (American lobster), 1582 nucleotides. RefSeq lists it as uncharacterized. NCBI's taxonomy places the organism in Eukaryota, Metazoa, Arthropoda, Malacostraca, Decapoda, Nephropidae. The record is from RefSeq and is a predicted model, not a curated record. The transcript is spliced from 3 exons.